UACGUAGGGGGCAAGCGUUGUCCGGAAUCAUUGGGCGUAAAGAGCGUGUAGGCGGCCCGGUAAGUCCGCUGUGAAAGUCGGGGGCUCAACCCUCGAAUGCCGGUGGAUACUGUCGGGCUAGAGUGCGGAAGAGGCGAGUGGAAUUCCUGGUGUAGCGGUGAAAUGCGCAGAUAUCAGGAGGAACACCUGCGGCGAAGGCGGGUUGCUGGGCUGACACUGACGCUGAAGCGCGAAAGCUAGGGGAGCGAACGGG
RNAcentral lists this ribosomal RNA (253 nucleotides) under uncultured bacterium. RNAcentral's name for it is "partial 16S ribosomal RNA". It matches the Rfam family "Bacterial small subunit ribosomal RNA", at positions 524 to 776 of the family's 1533-position model. The record is from RNAcentral.